GCAGGUCGGCGGCGGCGGCAGGAGAGCGGCCGGGCGUCAGCUCCUCGACCCCCGUGCCGGGCUAGUCCAGCGAGGCGGACGGGCGGCGUGGGCCCAUGGCCAGGCCCGGCAUGGAGCGGUGGCGCGACCGGCUGGCGCUGGUGACGGGGGCCUCGGGGGGCAUCGGCGCGGCCGUGGCCCGGGCCCUGGUCCAGCAGGGACUGAAGGUGGUGGGCUGCGCCCGCACUGUGGGCAACAUCGAGGAGCUGGCUGCUGAAUGUAAGAGUGCAGGCUACCCCGGGACUUUGAUCCCCUACAGAUGUGACCUAUCAAAUGAAGAGGACAUCCUCUCCAUGUUCUCAGCUAUCCGUUCUCAGCACAGCGGUGUAGACAUCUGCAUCAACAAUGCUGGCUUGGCCCGGCCUGACACCCUGCUCUCAGGCAGCACCAGCGGUUGGAAGGACAUGUUCAAUUAGACUUAGCACCUCACAGAUGCUUGGGCCUGGAAAUGAAGCCAUGAAAAUGAAGCCCUCAGCCUUCUUGGAGAUCAGAGCCAUGGUCCUCACCCACAGCACAUGGGUCUCUAAACCUGGACCUCAACUCGCCCAUCUGUAAAAUGAGGGACUUACAUUAAAUUCCUACAGCUCCUUUCAGCUUGA
Molecule: small RNA, 638 nt
Filed under: Pan troglodytes (chimpanzee)
Lineage: Eukaryota; Metazoa; Chordata; Mammalia; Primates; Hominidae
Description: processed transcript
Source: RNAcentral